Molecule: ribosomal RNA, 292 nt
Filed under: uncultured bacterium
Lineage: Bacteria
Also listed under: 2 other names
Description: partial 16S ribosomal RNA
Source: RNAcentral
GGACUACUGGGGUAUCUAAUCCCGUUUGCUCCCCUGGCUUUCGCGCCUCAGCGUCAGGUGAGGUCCAGCAGGGCGCUUUCGCCACCGGCGUUCCUUCCGAUAUCAACGCAUUUCACCGCUCCACCGGAAGUUCCCCCUGCCCCUACCUCGCUCGAGCCGGCCAGUAUCCGGGGCACUUUUCCGGUUAAGCCGAAAGAUUUCACCCAGGACUUGGCAAGCCGCCUACGCGCCCUUUAAGCCCAGUGAUUCCGAACAACGUUCGCACGGUUCGUCUUACCGCGGCUGCUGGCAC